RNAcentral lists this unclassified non-coding RNA (212 nucleotides) under plant metagenome. Its description in RNAcentral is "partial contains small subunit ribosomal RNA, internal transcribed spacer 1, and 5.8S ribosomal RNA". The record is from RNAcentral.
UUUCCGUAGGUGAACCUGCGGGAGGAUCAUUAAAAAUGAAGCCGGGAAACCGGUCCUUCUAACCCUUGAUUAUCUUAAUUUGUUGCUUUGGUGGGCCGCGCAAGCACCGGCUUCGGCUGGAUCGUGCCCGCCAGAGGACACAACUCUGUAUCAAAUGUCGUCUGAGUACUAUAAAAUAGUUAAAACUUUCAACAACGGAUCUCUUGGUUCUG